UACGGAGGGGGCUAGCGUUAUUCGGAAUUAUUGGGCGUAAAGGGCGUGUAGGCGGCUUCGUAAGUCUCAUUGUGAAAGCCCUCGGCUCAACCGAGGAACUGCAUGGGAAACUGCGGAGCUUGAGUCCGGGAGAGGAGAGCGGAAUUCCCAGUGUAGCGGUGAAAUGCGUAGAUAUUGGGAGGAACACCGGUGGCGAAGGCGGCUCUCUGGACCGGUACUGACGCUGAGACGCGAAAGCUAGGGGAGCAAACAGG
Molecule: ribosomal RNA, 254 nt
Filed under: uncultured bacterium
Lineage: Bacteria
Description: partial 16S ribosomal RNA
Rfam family: Bacterial small subunit ribosomal RNA
Source: RNAcentral